GACGAACGCUGGCGGCGUGCUUAACACAUGCAAGUCGAACGGAAAGGCCCUGCUUUUGUGGGGUGCUCGAGUGGCGAACGGGUGAAUAACACGUGAGUAACCUGCCCUUGACUUUGGGAUAACUUCAGGAAACUGGGGCUAAUACCGGAUAGGAGCUCCUGCUGCAUGGUGGGGGUUGGAAAGUUUCGGCGGUUGGGGAUGGACUCGCGGCUUAUCAGCUUGUUGGUGGGGUAGUGGCUUACCAAGGCUUUGACGGGUAGCCGGCCUGAGAGGGUGACCGGCCACAAUGGGACUGAGAUAAGGCCCAGACUCCUACGGGGGGCAAGCGGGGGGAAUAUUGCCCAAUGGGGCGGAGCCUGGUGCCACAACGGCCGGUUCGGGAAGACGGCCUUCGGGUUGUAAACCGCUUUCGCCUGUGACGAAGCGUGAGUGACGGUAAUGGGUAAAGAAGCACCGGCUAACUACGUG
This 468-nucleotide ribosomal RNA is filed under the name uncultured bacterium. Its description in RNAcentral is "partial 16S ribosomal RNA". It matches the Rfam family "Bacterial small subunit ribosomal RNA", at positions 28 to 507 of the family's 1533-position model. The record is from RNAcentral.